CAUGCAAGUCGAACGAAGUAGCAAUACUUAGUGGCAGACGGGUGAGUAACAUGUGGGUAUCUACCCUUUGGCCUGGAAUAACACGAGGAAACUUGUGCUAAUACCGGAUAAGUCUUUACGGAGAAAGCUUUAUGCACCAUUGGAUGAGCCCGCACUUGAUUAGUUUGUUGGUAGGGUAAUGGCCUACCAAGACUAUGAUCAAUAGCUGAUUUGAGAGGAUGAUCAGCCACAUUGGGACUGAGACACGGCCCAAACUCCUACGGGAGGCAGCAGUGGGGAAUCUUGCACAAUGGAGGAAACUCUGAUGCAGCGAUGCCGCGUGAGUGAAGAAGGCCUUUGGGUUGUAAAGCUCUUUCGUCGGGGAAGAAAAUGACUGUACCCGAAUAAGAAGGUCCGGCUAACUUCGUGCCAGCAGCCGCGGUAAUACGAAGGGACCUAGCGUAGUUCGGAAUUACUGGGCUUAAAGAGUUCGUAGGUGGUUGAAAAAGUUGGUGGUGAAAUCCCAGAGCUUAACUCUGGAACUGCCAUCAAAACUUUUCAGCUAGAGUAUGAUAGAGGAAAGCAGAAUUUCUAGUGUAGAGGUGAAAUUCGUAGAUAUUAGAAAGAAUACCAACUGCGAAGGCAGCUUUCUGGAUCAUUACUGACACUGAGGAACGAAAGCAUGGGUAGCGAAGAGGAUUAGAUACCCUCGUAGUCCAUGCCGUAAACGAUGUGUGUUAGACGUUGGAAAUUUAUUUUCAGUGUCGCAGGGAAACCGAUAAACACACCGCCUGGGGAGUACGACCGCAAGGUUAAAACUCAAAUGAAUUGACGGGGACCCGCACAAGUAGUGGAGCAUGUGGUUUAAUU
RNAcentral lists this ribosomal RNA (849 nucleotides) under uncultured Alphaproteobacteria bacterium. RNAcentral describes it as "bacterial SSU rRNA". It matches the Rfam family "Bacterial small subunit ribosomal RNA", at positions 54 to 951 of the family's 1533-position model. The record is from RNAcentral. Lineage: Bacteria; Pseudomonadati; Pseudomonadota; Alphaproteobacteria.